UAGAGUUUGAUCCUGGCUCAGGAUGAACGCUGGCGGCGUGCCUAAUACAUGCAAGUCGAGCGAACGGACGAGAAGCUUGCUUCUCUGAUGUUAGCGGCGGACGGGUGAGUAACACGUGGAUAACCUACCUAUAAGACUGGGAUAACUUCGGGAAACCGGAGCUAAUACCGGAUAAUAUUUUGAACCGCAUGGUUCAAAAGUGAAAGACGGUCUUGCUGUCACUUAUAGAUGGAUCCGCGCUGCAUUAGCUAGUUGGUAAGGUAACGGCUUACCAAGGCAACGAUGCAUAGCCGACCUGAGAGGGUGAUCGGCCACACUGGAACUGAGACACGGUCCAGACUCCUACGGGAGGCAGCAGUAGGGAAUCUUCCGCAAUGGGCGAAAGCCUGACGGAGCAACGCCGCGUGAGUGAUGAAGGUCUUCGGAUCGUAAAACUCUGUUAUUAGGGAAGAACAUAUGUGUAAGUAACUGUGCACUGCUUGACGGUACCUAAUCAGAAAGCCACGGCUAANAACGU
Molecule: ribosomal RNA, 517 nt
Filed under: Staphylococcus aureus
Lineage: Bacteria; Bacillati; Bacillota; Bacilli; Caryophanales; Staphylococcaceae
Description: bacterial SSU rRNA
Rfam family: Bacterial small subunit ribosomal RNA
Source: RNAcentral